AUCGACAGUCCACGAUAAAUUUAACUUCAUUUUUAAUUUAUAUACCACCAUUUUAAGAAUUAAUCCAAAAAUAUUUCUCCCAAAAAUCAAUAAAAAAUUAGGUCAAGGUGUAAUUUAUACUGAAGAAUAAGAUGAAUUACAUUAAAUACAAUAAAAGGAUUAUAAAUAAAAUAUUUAUAUAAAUAAGAAUUUAAAAGUAAUAUUAAAAUAAUAAUAUAAUAUGAUAUCUACAAUAAGUGUGUACACAUCGCCC
RNAcentral lists this ribosomal RNA (253 nucleotides) under Draconarius sp. ZZ101. RNAcentral describes it as "partial 12S ribosomal RNA". The record is from RNAcentral. Lineage: Eukaryota; Metazoa; Arthropoda; Arachnida; Araneae; Agelenidae.